UACAGAGGGUGCAAGCGUUAAUCGGAUUUACUGGGCGUAAAGCGAGUGUAGGUGGUUUGCUAAGUCAGGUGUGAAAUCCCAGGGCUUAACCCUGGAACUGCAUUUGAUACUGGCAGGCUCGAGUGUAGUAGAGGAUAGUGGAAUUCCCGGUGUAGCGGUGAAAUGCGUAGAUAUCGGGAGGAACAUCAGUGGCGAAGGCGGCUAUCUGGACUAACACUGACACUGAGACUCGAAAGCGUGGGGAGCAAACAGG
RNAcentral lists this unclassified non-coding RNA (253 nucleotides) under uncultured Gammaproteobacteria bacterium. Its description in RNAcentral is "contains 16S-23S intergenic spacer region". It matches the Rfam family "Bacterial small subunit ribosomal RNA", at positions 524 to 776 of the family's 1533-position model. Lineage: Bacteria; Pseudomonadati; Pseudomonadota; Gammaproteobacteria. The record is from RNAcentral.